This 224-nucleotide small nucleolar RNA is filed under the name Cyclopterus lumpus (lumpfish). RNAcentral's name for it is "Small nucleolar RNA SNORA73 family (ENSCLMG00005011871.1)". It matches the Rfam family "Small nucleolar RNA SNORA73 family". Rfam says of the family: U17 (SNORA73A and SNORA73B) also known as E1 belongs to the H/ACA class of small nucleolar RNAs (snoRNAs). Vertebrate U17 is intron-encoded and ranges in length from 200-230 nucleotides, longer than most snoRNAs. The record is from Rfam by way of RNAcentral. Lineage: Eukaryota; Metazoa; Chordata; Actinopteri; Perciformes; Cyclopteridae.
CCGACGUGGUCAUCCAGCGAGGUUGCUCUCCUGGCUCUGUCCUGGUGGCGUAUGGGAGCGUAGCUUUCGAGCUGAGACGUACAUUCCCGUUCCACGACGUCGGAGACUAAGCUCCGCCCCCCUGGCCGUUUGGUCGGUGAGGACGUGGCGUCCUGCAUAUUCCUACAUCUUCCCAGAGUCCUUUGGGGCCGUGACUGGGGGGCUAAACCAUGCAGUGCACAGCA